This 215-nucleotide non-coding RNA is filed under the name Anatilimnocola aggregata. The record is from RNAcentral. Lineage: Bacteria; Pseudomonadati; Planctomycetota; Planctomycetia; Pirellulales; Pirellulaceae.
GAAAACCCGUCCGGUAGCGUCUGACCAACGGCCGGAAGCGAGUCUUGCGUGGGGCGAGGGUAACCCGCACUGCGAAGCGUAGACAGCCAGUCCGAAAGCCAUGCUAUUGAGCGCCGAAAGGCCUUUCGCAGAAGCCCUUGCUGUACACAUACCAGGGGCCACGCUGCCGCACUGUACGGUCUGGUGCGAGCAGUCCCGCCGGCGUCGACUGAACA